RNAcentral lists this ribosomal RNA (256 nucleotides) under uncultured bacterium. RNAcentral describes it as "partial 16S ribosomal RNA". It matches the Rfam family "Bacterial small subunit ribosomal RNA", at positions 524 to 777 of the family's 1533-position model. The record is from RNAcentral.
UACGUAGGGUGCAAGCGUUAAUCGGAAUUACUGGGCGUAAAGCGUGCGCAGGCGGUUAUGUAAGACAGAUGUGAAAUCCCCGGGCUCAACCUGGGAACUGCAUUUGUGACUGCAUAGCUAGAGUACGGUAGAGGGGGAUGGAAUUCCGCGUGUAGCAGUGAAAUGCGUAGAUAUGCGGAGGAACACCGAUGGCGAAGGCAAUCCCCUGGACCUGUACUGACGCUCAUGCACGAAAAGCGUGGGGGAGCAAACGAGG